GCCCUCUCAGGGUUGCACCUGGAGAGUUUCCAGUACUCUACCAGUCUCGACUACAGGAGGGAGAGCCAAGCAGAGGCCUACACAUUCCGUUCCUAGCUUGGGCAAUGGCUAGCGAGUGGAAGGCAAUCUGCUGUAAGU
This 138-nucleotide small nucleolar RNA is filed under the name Ornithorhynchus anatinus (platypus). The record is from RNAcentral. Lineage: Eukaryota; Metazoa; Chordata; Mammalia; Monotremata; Ornithorhynchidae.